UGUGUGUCUUCUCCCUUAAGUAAACCCAGCUGCCAGAAUACACUGGUGGAGUUAUGUUAUUAACUAGGAGUAGCCAGCUGCCUACUGGUUAUCCACAUGAAGGAAUGCUGUUUGGUUAUUUCCCUCUGACUGAUACUGAAACUAAAAUGGGGAAGGACUCCAAGUACAACACAUCAUGUAGAGGGGUGGGGGUACCCUUGCGGGAUCACACUGAGAACCUGCCAAGAACACACUGAAAUCAUUAUUCUGACAGAUCAUGGAUACUUUCUCCCCCAAAGCCAGUGGCCACGUCUGCUGGGCACUCACUGUGGUCAGGCUGAGUUGGCUUCUGUAACAUGGGGCUACAUCAGGAGUCCAAGGACCACUUCCACUGGAAAAGCAAAGUCAUUUGUCCACAUAACAGAAACUUUGGAAAAGUUGGGCGACAAGGACCCUGCCUAUACAGACAUUCUCCCAGGAGGUCUUCUGUAGGAGCGAAUGUUACAAAAUGGCUGCACAAGACCUGUGUUUUGUUUGGUCUGAACUUUUCAUGAAUUGUUUGUUUUAAUUUAUGACAGGCUUGUCGUUAGUGGGAGGAAGCAUGCCGGGUUGCCAAAGCACCAGAAGCAGACUGAUGUGACUUGGGAGCCAAGGAAAAGAAACACACACACAGCCUCUGCAGCCUCUGAAGAACCCAACUGGAGACAUGAGGAAAACAGAAGGUGUGAAAGGCUCACAUACCAUCCUCUCGCUCACAGAUGUGCCACUACCAGGCAGUCAGCAGACAUGUGGCAGGCAUCAGCAAGGAACUGAACCAACCCUGGCUGGAGGCUUUAGGUAUACAAAUGGAGAACCUAAGACAACAUCUGGAACAGAAUGAGACUGGCAAAAUAUUAGGACCUUCUCAACAAAAGAUUCCAUUGUGGGGUCACAGGAC
This is a long non-coding RNA of Manis pentadactyla (Chinese pangolin), 916 nucleotides long. RefSeq lists it as uncharacterized. The record is from RefSeq and is a predicted model, not a curated record. The transcript has 4 exons. NCBI's taxonomy places the organism in Eukaryota, Metazoa, Chordata, Mammalia, Pholidota, Manidae.